Transfer RNA from Camelus ferus (Wild Bactrian camel), 72 nucleotides. It matches the Rfam family "tRNA". From Rfam's summary of the family: Transfer RNA (tRNA) molecules are approximately 80 nucleotides in length. The record is from Rfam. Lineage: Eukaryota; Metazoa; Chordata; Mammalia; Artiodactyla; Camelidae.
GCGGGUAUAGCUCAGUGGUUGAGCAUGUGUUUAGCAUGCACGUGGUCCUGGGUUCAAUCCCCAGCACCACCA